This 257-nucleotide unclassified non-coding RNA is filed under the name uncultured fungus. RNAcentral describes it as "sequence contains ITS2". The record is from RNAcentral. Lineage: Eukaryota; Fungi.
AACGCACAUUGCGCCCUUUGGCAUUCCGAAGGGCAUGCCUGUUCGAGCGUCAUUAUCAACCAUCAAGCAUGGCUUGUCGUUGGACUCCUGUCGUUGAAAUAAUACGACAGAUUUAAAAAGUAAUAGUGGUGCUGUGAUCGACCCUAGAUGCAACGAGCUCUCAGUAGCAUGCAUUGGAAGUGGUCGGCCAGCCUGACUUCCACCAGUAUUUUCUCAAAGUUGACCUCGGAUCAGGCAGGAAUACCUGCUGAACUUAA